GAUGAACGCUGACAGAAUGCUUAACACAUGCAAGUCAACUUGAACUUCGGUUUGGGUGGCGGACGGGUGAGUAACGCGUAAAGAACUUGCCUCACAGCUAGGGACAACAUUUGGAAACGAAUGCUAAUACCUGAUAUUAUGAUUAUAUGGCAUCGUAUAAUUAUGAAAGCUAUAUGCGCUGUGAGAGAGCUUUGCGUCCCAUUAGCUAGUUGGAGAGGUAACAGCUCACCAAGGCGAUGAUGGGUAGCCGGCCUGAGAGGGUGAUCGGCCACAAGGGGACUGAGACACGGCCCCUACUCCUACGGGAGGCAGCAGUGGGGAAUAUUGGACAAUGGACCGAGAGUCUGAUCCAGCAAUUCUGUGUGCACGAUGAAGUUUUUCGGAAUGUAAAGUGCUUUCAGUUGGGAAGAAAAAAAUGACGGUACCAACAGAAGAAGUGACGGCUAAAUACGUG
RNAcentral lists this ribosomal RNA (454 nucleotides) under uncultured bacterium. RNAcentral's name for it is "partial 16S ribosomal RNA". It matches the Rfam family "Bacterial small subunit ribosomal RNA", at positions 28 to 507 of the family's 1533-position model. The record is from RNAcentral.